RNAcentral lists this ribosomal RNA (292 nucleotides) under uncultured bacterium. Its description in RNAcentral is "partial 16S ribosomal RNA". It matches the Rfam family "Bacterial small subunit ribosomal RNA", at positions 505 to 796 of the family's 1533-position model. The record is from RNAcentral.
GUGUCAGCAGCCGCGGUAAUACGUAGGGUGCAAGCGUUGUUCGGAAUCAUUGGGCGUAAAGCGCGUGUAGGCGGUCAUCUAAGUCGGGUGUGAAAUCCCUGGGCUCAACCGAGGAAGUGCAUCCGAAACUAGAUGGCUGGAAGAUGGUAGAGGAAGGUGGAAUUCCAAGUGUAGAGGUGAAAUUCGUAGAUAUUUGGAGGAAUACCGGUGGCGAAGGCGGCCUUCUGGACCAUUCUUGACGCUGAGACGCGAAAGCGUGGGGAGCAAACAGGAUUAGAUACCCCUGUAGUCC